GGAUCUCUUGGUUCUGGCAUCGAUGAAGAACGCAGCGAAAUGCGAUAAGUAAUGUGAAUUGCAGAAUUCAGUGAAUCAUCGAAUCUUUGAACGCACAUUGCGCCCUUUGGUAUUCCGAAGGGCAUGCCUGUUCGAGCGUCAUUACAACCCUCAAGCU
This 157-nucleotide ribosomal RNA is filed under the name Botryosphaeria sp. Fx-3-1. RNAcentral describes it as "5.8S ribosomal RNA". The stretch from base 1 to 141 matches the Rfam family "5.8S ribosomal RNA". Rfam says of the family: 5.8S ribosomal RNA (5.8S rRNA) is a component of the large subunit of the eukaryotic ribosome. It is transcribed by RNA polymerase I as part of the 45S precursor that also contains 18S and 28S rRNA. The record is from RNAcentral. Lineage: Eukaryota; Fungi; Ascomycota; Dothideomycetes; Botryosphaeriales; Botryosphaeriaceae.